GAUGAACGCUGGCGGCGUGCCUAAUACAUGCAAGUCGAGCGAACGGACGAGAAACUUGCUUCUCUGAUGUUAGCGGCGGACGGGUGAGUAACACGUGGAUAACCUACCUAUAAGACUGGGAUAACUUCGGGAAACCGGAGCUAAUACCGGAUAAUAUUUUGAACCGCAUGGUUCAAAAGUGAAAGACGGUCUUGCUGUCACUUAUAGAUGGAUCCGCGCUGCAUUAGCUAGUUGGUAAGGUAACGGCUUACCAAGGCAACGAUGCAUAGCCGACCUGAGAGGGUGAUCGGCCACACUGGAACUGAGACACGGUCCAGACUCCUACGGGAGGCAGCAGUAGGGAAUCUUCCGCAAUGGGCGAAAGCCUGACGGAGCAACGCCGCGUGAGUGAUGAAGGUCUUCGGAUCGUAAAACUCUGUUAUUAGGGAAGAACAUAUGUGUAAGUAACUGUGCACAUCUUGACGGUACCUAAUCAGAAAGCCACGGCUAACUACGUG
Molecule: ribosomal RNA, 497 nt
Filed under: uncultured bacterium
Lineage: Bacteria
Description: partial 16S ribosomal RNA
Rfam family: Bacterial small subunit ribosomal RNA
Source: RNAcentral